Molecule: non-coding RNA, 300 nt
Organism: Eimeria necatrix
Lineage: Eukaryota; Apicomplexa; Conoidasida; Eucoccidiorida; Eimeriidae
Source: Rfam
CUACCGCAGCUGCUGCAGCUGCUGCAGCUACUGCAGCUACUGCAGCUGCUGCAGCUGCUGCAGCUGCUGCAGCUACUGCAGCUACUGCAGCUACUGCAGCUACUGCAGCUACUGCAGCUACCGCAGCUGCUGCAGCUGCUGCAGCUGCUGCAGCUACUGCAGCUACUGCAGCUGCUGCAGCUACCGCAGCUGCUGCAGCUGCUGCAGCUGCUGCAGCUGCUGCAGCUACUGCAGCUGCUGCAGCUGCUGCAGCUGCUGCAGCUGCUGCAGCUACUGCAGCUACUGCAGCUGCUGCAGCUG